AACGAACGCUGGCGGCAUGCCUAACACAUGCAAGUCGAACGAGACCUUCGGGUCUAGUGGCGCACGGGUGCGUAACGCGUGGGAACCUGCCCUUAGGUUCGGAAUAACUCCCCGAAAGGGGUGCUAAUACCGGAUAAUGUCUUCGGACCAAAGAUUUAUCGCCUUUGGAUGGGCCCGCGUUGGAUUAGCUAGUUGGUAGGGUAAAAGCCUACCAAGGCGACGAUCCAUAGCUGGUCUGAGAGGAUGAUCAGCCACACUGGGACUGAGACACGGCCCAGACUCCGACGGGAGGGAGCAGUGGGGAAUAUUGGACGAUGGGCGAAAGCCUGAUCCAGCAAUGCCGCGUGAGUGAUGAAGGCCUUAGGGUUGUAAAGCUCUUUUACCCGAGAUGAUAAUGACAGUACCGGGAGAAUAAGCUCCGGCUAACUCCGUG
This 433-nucleotide ribosomal RNA is filed under the name uncultured bacterium. RNAcentral describes it as "partial 16S ribosomal RNA". It matches the Rfam family "Bacterial small subunit ribosomal RNA", at positions 29 to 507 of the family's 1533-position model. The record is from RNAcentral.